CAAACAAUGAUCUAUUUAUACAGCCCUAAUUAUUCUUACUUAUGUGAUAAAUAAAGGUUGUGGUAAGCCCAGAAUGAAGUAAAAAAUCUAAGAAUCUUUUCAAAACAUUGAUCUACUAUCAGAACAGAGAAAGUAGAUUUACCAGUUUCAGCACAUUUGAAGGAGGCAGGACUUCAAGUUUUACAAUUCAGAUUCCACGUUAUUGAUAGUGCACCCAAAUUGAGAUGAGGGGGUAGUGGGUGCAGACUAUUAAAAGAAAGGGAGCCAAUUGUCUUGCAUUUAGUAUAUUGGAACCUCUAGGCAUUUUUUUGCAAUUUUUUUUCCCCAACUCCAUCUUUGUUCAGCUUACAUACAAGGGAUUAGAGUAAAAACAGAACGUUAACUGCGCUCUGGCCUAAAUCCCCAUGUACAUUUAAACAAAAUG
This is a non-coding RNA of Pelobates cultripes (western spadefoot toad), 424 nucleotides long. The record is from the annotation of a GenBank genome assembly. NCBI's taxonomy places the organism in Eukaryota, Metazoa, Chordata, Amphibia, Anura, Pelobatidae.